Camelina sativa (false flax) is the source of this 798-nucleotide non-coding RNA. NCBI's taxonomy places the organism in Eukaryota, Viridiplantae, Streptophyta, Magnoliopsida, Brassicales, Brassicaceae. The record is from RefSeq and is a predicted model, not a curated record.
UCCCUUUUGACAGGAGAUUCUUCCCAGAAGGUGGAAGAGAAGAGUUUAAAGAAGGUGGAGGAGAAGUGGUUGAACGCUUAGGCACGGGAGAUGAAGGUAUGACCAAUGGUUGAGUCAUGGCAUGUGAAGGAGGGGACACAGGUUGGGUUACUAGUGGAGGGUUAGUGGUUACAGCAGGGGGGUUAGUAGAAGAGGAUAGUACAGCGAAAGGGUUGCUAAGACAAGCUGAGAGGGAUUACGGGAUGGAGACGUGCAGUCCAUAGGAGUGGGGGAAGGCGAACUUUCAGUUGGUGGUAAGGUUUCUGGGGCAUGUUCGAUUACAGGAGAUGGUUGAGUAGACCCAAUAGGAGCCUCAGUACAGACAGCAACAGGCCCAGCUUGAGGACCCUCUUCGGAAGUGAGAGCAGGAGGGUGGAAUCCAUGGAUACUCAACUGAAAUUGUGAUAACCUCUCCACUAUCACGGACUAUCUCCACUGAGGAAGGGAGAGGUCAAAGGGCAUUCCUUUUAGAUGAGCCCAAAUCGGCACUGCGUUUAGAUCAGUACUGACACCACCAGAAGCGUCCCAUUGCGCCCCCAAAAACAUACAUUCGCCAAUGUACCGCACCUUUUUCUCCAGAACUUUGCUCCUUCAUGAAAUACCGAGUCAGGGAUGACUAUACGAGGAAUACCAUCAGCCGAAUAAGAAGCAGGAGCAAGACGUGUGAGCUUCCUAUCCGCGUCUUUCCUUAGAUUUUGAGCUAGUGUAACAGAUGGAGUGGAAGCAGUUGUGCUAGUAAGAGGUUUAGGAUUGGGUACA